GUAACAAGGUCUCCGUAGGUGAACCUGCGGAGGGAUCAUUACACAAUAACCAGGCGGGCUGGACACCCCCCGCUGGGCACUGCUUCACGGCGUGCGCGGCGGGGCCGGCCCUGCUGAAUUAUUCACCCGUGUCUUUUGCGUACUUCUUGUUUCCUGGGUGGGCUCGCCCGCCCUCAGGACCAACCACAAACCUUUUGCAAUAGCAAUCAGCGUCAGUAACAACGUAAUUAAUUACAACUUUCAACAACGGAUCUCUUGGUUCUGGCAUCGAUGAAGAACGCAGCGAAAUGCGAUACGUAGUGUGAAUUGCAGAAUUCAGUGAAUCAUCGAAUCUUUGAACGCACAUUGCGCCCUUUGGUAUUCCAAAGGGCAUGCCUGUUCGAGCGUCAUUUGUACCCUCAAGCUUUGCUUGGUGUUGGGCGUCUUUUGUCUCCAGUUCGCUGGAGACUCGCCUUAAAGUCAUUGGCAGCCGGCCUACUGGUUUCGGAGCGCAGCACAAGUCGCGCUCUUCGCCAGCCAAGGUCAGCGUCCAGCAAGCCUUUUUUUCAACCUUUGACCUCGGAUCAGGUAGGGAUACCCGCUGAACUUAAGCAUAUCAAUAA
RNAcentral lists this unclassified non-coding RNA (602 nucleotides) under Alternaria cerasidanica. RNAcentral's name for it is "sequence contains 18S rRNA gene, ITS1, 5.8S rRNA gene, ITS2". The stretch from base 236 to 389 matches the Rfam family "5.8S ribosomal RNA". Lineage: Eukaryota; Fungi; Ascomycota; Dothideomycetes; Pleosporales; Pleosporaceae. The record is from RNAcentral.